AAACAUUAACUGAAUGAAAACGGGUAGUCCUUGUUCUGCUUGGGGGGCUUUAAGGAAGCAAAUGGACUUUCAGAACAGAGAUUGUCAAUAAAGGUGUUGUGCCAUGUUAAAGACCCUCUUGUCAUUUUUAUUAUUCAUGGAUGGACGCUAAUUCUACAAGUCAGUUUAAGCAUAUGGAACUUCCUGAGCCAGGGAUGGAACACGAGUUGUCCAUGACAUGACACAGCUACGGCAAACACUGGAUCCUUAACCCACUGUGCUGGGUCGGGAAUUGAACUGGUGCCUCCACAGAGACAAGCUGGAUCAUUAAUCCAUUGUGCCACAGCAGCAAUCCACAUUGGAUUUUCUUCGGGGCCCAAUGUUAUAUAUGAAAUCCUUUGCAAACUAUGAAGUAUAUUUGUGAGAUGGUUUUACUGGAAACAGUAGGACACUAGAAACAAAUACGCUAUAGCAAUAUCAGCCACGGGCAUAAUAGUUAGUGGUUAAUUGAUACUCUUUGUUUAAGUCCUGACACAACCACCAUGCUGAUGCAGAUACUCUUUAUUAGUACACAGGAAAAUCAGAUCAUUAUCUAAGGCCAACAAGCUCCUCCUUGAGAUGUUCUGCCAUAUAAUCUGGAGGAAAUACUGUAAGACUUUGUCAGCACUGAGUCAUUUGCACUGGGAGUCUUACCAGAAAAAAAAAAUCUUGUCUUCUCAGAAGGUUGUUUACUGUUCUAUUCAAAGAUCAAUUUGUCAUGUCAACACUUUCUCUAAUACAAUGGCAAGUGGCAAGAACAAACUGUACAGAAUCCUGUUUCCAAGUAAGCAAAAGUGCACUGUGGGGAAGACUGGUAUAGCCUAAGCAGGUAUUAUAAGCAGAGACAGAUAGAUACGGGUUAAAGGCAAAGUUUUUUUGCCUUACGAGAUCCUAGAAUGAAGGUGACAUAGAGGGGACACAAAAGACAUAUAAUUAGAUAUAAAUGUUACCUUUACCCCAAACUCAGUCUUUCCUUUCUACUGACCAUUUAGGGCUCAAUUCACUAAUCUCCCACUUUAAUAUACAUUUGAAUUUUACCCCCCACUUCUUGAGACCACUUAUCUCAAGAAAGAUGUUACAUGACAGCUUUUAAGAUGCCAUGGUACAGAAACAAUUAAGUAUGCACCUGGUCCAUUAAAAGUGGCCUAUAUAAGAAAUAAGAUAUUCUACAGAAUUCUAUAAAUCCUGCUACUGCCACUCCCUGCUCCCUGGUAUCUGUUACCUUGUUUGUGUCAAUAGUCGCAGAUCCUAUGUUCCUGUUCUUACCUCAGUCUUUGGCAUUUUCUGUGUAACCCCUGGUAAUCAUAUUUAGCAGCCCUCCACUACACCCCUCAAUUUAAUGCUCCUAUUCUUUACUGGUGCUUUCACUGCCUUCCUCCUGAAGUCUUACUUUACCCUUCCCAUGUUUUAUGUGGUCUGACAGCUAUGUCUCAUGUCUUCUUUUAUCUAUGCUAGCAUAUGUAUUUGGUCAAUUCAGAAAAAUAAAAGUUUAUUUUAAUAUGCA
RNAcentral lists this long non-coding RNA (1522 nucleotides) under Sus scrofa (pig). RNAcentral's name for it is "lncRNA (ENSSSCG00040069979.1)". Lineage: Eukaryota; Metazoa; Chordata; Mammalia; Artiodactyla; Suidae. The record is from RNAcentral.